Long non-coding RNA from Xiphias gladius (swordfish), 605 nucleotides. RefSeq lists it as uncharacterized. The transcript is spliced from 5 exons. The record is from RefSeq and is a predicted model, not a curated record. Lineage: Eukaryota; Metazoa; Chordata; Actinopteri; Istiophoriformes; Xiphiidae.
GAGGAGGAGGAGGCCGCGCAGACACGGACAGCUCGACUGAAGGCUUCGCCCGCUGUUAACACCACGGCGCCUCGGCAGCAGUCAAAACCAACUGCAAAGCCCGCCGUCACAUUUCCGACCAAGCCCGGAAAACACAGAGGUGAAGGUGUCUGUGUUGAACAUACGUGGCCCCUACUCGACUGACAUUAUACGACCAGCCAACAUGCCUGCCACAAGCAGUGUACCAGUGCAUAGACCAAAGCCUCCUGUCUCCCACGUGAAAGCUCAUUCAGCCAGUGAACCUGUCAGCUCCAGCACUGUGUCAAAGCAACCGUAAAUGCCAACCACCAUGUUGCAGAUAGGAGCAUGUCUUAACAAAGGCAGUGUUUCCAGGACUGGAUCAUCCACACAGCGUCUGAUAGGCCACUCCCCUGGGCUACGUCUGCUGUGCUUACCAGGGGUCUCUUGUCUCUGAACUAAAGGACUGCUUAAUCAUCAGAUGUCUGCAUCAGAACCACAAGACGACACCUAAUGGCCCAGCAGCUGUAUUUAGUCACUGACAUUUCAUCUGAGCUCCUGCAUGCUUGAAGAAGCCCAGCUUUCCUGUAGGUAUCUGCAUAACUGUU